UUCUGGAACUCAAUUAACGGAUCUUGUACAGUAGCACUACUUGUAUUGUUCUCUGCUUGAUAUGUCGCUUUGCUUGUAUUUUUCUCAUUUGUAAGUCGCUUUGGAUAAAAGCCUCCGCUAAAUGAAUAAAUGUAAGUGUAACUGUAAAUUGUGAGACAGAUCUUUAGCUGUGUUUACAGAUUAUCAAAGCAGAACUCAAAGCAAAGUGAAACAAACAACACAAAAUAGCAGGACAGCUUUUUAUAUCUAUCUAUCUAUCUAUCUAUCUAUAGUAUAAUCUUUCUCUGAGUUUAAAAACAGCCAGUGACAGUUUUGCCAAGUUUUUGAUGAUUCAUUUUGCUAAACUAUUUAGUAAGGCACUAUGAGGUGUUUUACCUGUGUCUUUUUUUUCUAUUAAAGUUUAUUUACCUCUGGUGGUGUAAAGGUCAGUAAUGACUAAAGUAACAUAACCCUUGUGUUUGAGGUAAUCUGCUAGCGUGCUGCUAAACCUCAGCAAAGCACCGACCCCGCUUUCCAUGAAGACAUACCGAAAGAGUCAUGGGGGAACCUGGAGCCUAUCCCAGGGAGCAUUGGGCACAAGGCGGGGUACACCCUGGACAGGGUGCCAAUCCAUCGCUGGGCACAAUCACAUACACAUUCAUACACUACGGCCACGCCAAUCAGCCUACCGUGCAUGUCUUUGGACUGGGGGAGGAAACCGGAGUACCCGGAGGAAACCCCCGCAGCACGGGGAGAACAUGCAAACUCCACACACACAGGGCCACGGUGAGAAUCGAACCCCCGACCCUGGAGGCAUGAGUGCGCCCCCUAAAAGGAAGUUUUGUUGUUAAAUGUGUCUUUAAGUGGGUCAGUCACUCGCUGUUGUUCAGACAUGCCAUCAUUUUCCAAUAAAAUAUUUGUCAGACGUUAGUUUUCAUUCUGAAUUGUAAAAGAUUCUCUAAGAUGUGUCGUGAGUGUUGUUUUCUGACCUAGUUGUGAGAAGGUGAGCGACAGUCAUGCAGUCCAACUCCAUGUAGUGCAAUCAUUGCCUUAGGAAGUUCUUGAUCAACUAAAACAAGUGUGGUAGAUUUUGGUUGGAGAAGAAACCUGCAGGAAGGAAGGAAGGAUUGGUGACCACUGAUGUAAUGUAUUGACCAACAAGUGUUUUAUCCUUAAUGAUUUGUGUAUUCAAUAUAAAAAAUACAAUGUGCCAUUGCAGCUUCAAAUCUUGCUGUCUUGUUAUAUCUACAGUGUCUGUGGGUGUUCCCAUUCUACAAUUACAUUUUAUUUAGAUUAUUGUUUUUGAUUGAUUAUUGUGCCUUUACAGUUCCUACGAAGAGUUAAUAUUUAAGGAGGUGUUCAAGUACUACAGCCUUCCUGAGGCGUUAUGAGAUAGUGGAAUUUAUCUUUAUCUUUUCAUCUUUAAUAUCAAUGAGUUAUCAGGUUAUUAUCCACAAUCCCACAGCCAAACAAAUUCCCCCAAAUGUUUUAGAGCAAUUAGAGCCUACUGUACAAACAACUGGCAUAAUUGGAGUCGCUAUCUUUCAUGGGCAGUGUAUGCACUGUACCCUCUGAUUCCUUGAUAAAUAGUCUGCACUUAUAUUGCAGUUCUUCAAAGUGCUUUACACUGAUUCUUAUUAACCCAUUCACACACACUCACACAUCAAUACAAGGCAAUAGCCUGCCAUCGGGAGCAAUUUGGGGUUCAGUGUGGCAUGUGGGGCCAGGAGACAGGGAUCAAACCGCCAACCCUAUGAUUAGUGUACAACCCGCUCUACCACCUGAGCCACAGCCGCCCCACAUCCCUUCUAGUGAUUGCUUGAUGUGUUUAUCAGCCACCCAUCCUGGAGGAUUCCACUACAUCCAGAACCGAUGGUCUGGCUUUCUACUGAAUUUUAAAACUGUUCCUCAUUGGUCUUUUCCAUUUCCUGCCUGGAACAUGUACAGUAUAAAGUACACGAAUCAUAUACUUAACACAAAGCCUUAUUAGAUAACCAUCUUAGAUUACCCACUGAUCAAGUUUGCUCUAAUUUUCCGUGUUCCUGCCAUUGUCUGUGUUUACUGAUCAUGAUUUGGGAUCUGACAGUGUUUUUUGCUGAGCCUAUUUUGUGUAUGACCUAGAUAUGUUCAUGGUUUUUGGAUUUUGGAUAUUUGUGACAUUAAACCUCUUGUAUUUGGAUCCUAA
Ictalurus punctatus (channel catfish) is the source of this 2164-nucleotide long non-coding RNA. RefSeq lists it as uncharacterized. The transcript is spliced from 2 exons. NCBI's taxonomy places the organism in Eukaryota, Metazoa, Chordata, Actinopteri, Siluriformes, Ictaluridae. The record is from RefSeq and is a predicted model, not a curated record.